UACAGAGGUCUCAAGCGUUGUUCGGAUUCAUUGGGCGUAAAGGGUGCGUAGGCGGCGCGGUAAGUCGGGUGUGAAAUCUUGGAGCUUAACUCCGAAACUGCAUUCGAUACUGCCGUGCUUGAGGACUGGAGAGGAGACUGGAAUUUACGGUGUAGCGGUGAAAUGCGUAGAUAUCGUAAGGAAGACCAGUGGCGAAGGCGGGUCUCUGGACAGUUCCUGACGCUGAGGAACGAAGGCCAGGGGAGCAAACGGG
Molecule: ribosomal RNA, 253 nt
Filed under: uncultured bacterium
Lineage: Bacteria
Description: partial 16S ribosomal RNA
Rfam family: Bacterial small subunit ribosomal RNA
Source: RNAcentral